GCUGGCGGCGUGCUUAACACAUGCAAGUCGAACGGUGAACCAGGGCUUGCCCUGGGAAUCAGUGGCGAACGGGUGAGUAACACGUGGGCAACCUGCCCCAGACACCGGGAUAACCGCUCGAAAGAGUGGCUAAUACCGGAUACGACCACUUUGGGCAUCCAACGGUGGUGGAAAGGAUUCUGGUCUGGGAUGGGCCCGCGGCCUAUCAGCUUGUUGGUGAGGUAACGGCUCACCAAGGCGACGACGGGUAGCCGGCCUGAGAGGGCGACCGGCCACACUGGGACUGAGACACGGCCCAGACUCCUACGGGAGGCAGCAGUGGGGAAUAUUGCGCAAUGGGCGAAAGCCUGACGCAGCGACGCCGCGUGAGGGACGAAGGUCUUCGGAUUGUAAACCUCUUUCAGCAGGGACGAAGCGAAAGUGACUGUACCUGCAGAAGAAGCACCGGCUAACUACGUGCCAGCAGCCGCGGUAAUACGUAGGGUGCAAGCGUUGUCCGGAUUUAUUGGGCGUAAAGAGCUCGUAGGCGGUUUGUC
This 536-nucleotide ribosomal RNA is filed under the name uncultured bacterium. RNAcentral describes it as "bacterial SSU rRNA". It matches the Rfam family "Bacterial small subunit ribosomal RNA", at positions 35 to 584 of the family's 1533-position model. The record is from RNAcentral.